Molecule: ribosomal RNA, 357 nt
Filed under: uncultured bacterium
Lineage: Bacteria
Description: SSU rRNA
Rfam family: Bacterial small subunit ribosomal RNA
Source: RNAcentral
CGACCGGCGGACGGGUGAGUAACACAUAGGAACCUGCCCUGAAGAGUGGGACAACCUGGGGAAACCUAGGCUAAUACCGCAUACUACUUUUUGGAGGAAAACCUGGCGUGAGCUGGGGCUUUAGGAGGGGCCUAUGUCCGAUUAGCUAGUUGGUGAGGUAAAGGCUUACCAAGGCGAUGAUCGGUAGCUGGUCUGAGAGGACGGCCAGCCACACUGGGACUGAGACACGGCCCAGACUCCUACGGGAGGCAGCAGUGGGGAAUCUUGGACAAUGGGGGCAACCCUGAUCCAGCGAUGCCGCGUGGGUGAAGAAGGCCUUCGGGUUGUAAAACCCUUUAGGCUGGGAAGAAGGUGCUG